Molecule: long non-coding RNA, 268 nt
Filed under: Homo sapiens (human)
Lineage: Eukaryota; Metazoa; Chordata; Mammalia; Primates; Hominidae
Description: LHRI_LNC238.1
Source: RNAcentral
CCGCCUUCUUUCUCUACUUCGUGACCUUUUGUGGUCCCGAGACCUGCUGCAUCUUCUGUCUGAUGUUCGGCUUGAGUGUCUACUUCGUGAACGACUUCUCUUUCUUCUUUCUCUGUCACGAGCCCUUUCUUUUUCUCUUUCUUCCUCUUCCCUUCGUCUUUUCCUUUCUCUUUCUUCCCUUUCUCUCUCCCGUUCUUUUUCUCUUUCUUCUCUUUCUUGCUUCUCCUUUUUUAGACGCUCAUCACGAUCAGGUUCUUCGGUUCUUUUC